CCUACGGGAGGCAGCAGUCGGGAAUUUUGGGCAAUGGGCGCAAGCCUGACCCAGCAACGCCGCGUGAAGGAUGAAGUUUUUCGGAAUGUAAACUUCGUAAAAAUAGGAAGAAUAAAUGACGGUACUAUUUGUAAGGUCCGGCUAACUACGUGCCAGCAGCCGCGGUAAUACGUAGGGACCAAGCGUUGUUCGGAUUUACUGGGCGUAAAGGGCGCGUAGGCGGCGUAACAAGUCACUUGUGAAAUCUCCGGGCUUAACUCGGAACGGUCAAGUGAUACUGUUGUGCUAGAGUACAGAAGGGGCAAUCGGAAUUCUUGGUGUAGCGGUGAAAUGCGUAGAUAUCAAGAGGAACACCAGAGGCGAAGGCGGAUUGCUAGGCUGAUACUGACGCUGAGGCGCGAAAGCUAGGGUAGCAAACGGGAUUAGAUACCCCGGUAGUCCUAGCCCUAAACGAUGAAUACUUGGUGUCUGGAGUUUAAUUCUCUGGGUGCCGUCGCUAACGUUUUAAGUAUUCCGCCUGGGGAGUACGCACGCAAGUGUGAAACUCAAAGGAAUUGACGG
RNAcentral lists this ribosomal RNA (561 nucleotides) under uncultured bacterium. Its description in RNAcentral is "bacterial SSU rRNA". It matches the Rfam family "Bacterial small subunit ribosomal RNA", at positions 338 to 916 of the family's 1533-position model. The record is from RNAcentral.